GACGAACGCUGGCGGCAGGCCUAACACAUGCAAGUCGAGCGGAUGUAGCAAUACAUCAGCGGCGCACGGGUGAGUAACGCGUGGGAACCUGCCCUUUGGUACGGAACAACCCUGGGAAACUAGGGCUAAUACCGAAUACGCCUCGAGAGAGGGAAAGAUUUAUCGCCGAAGGAGGGGCCCGCGUCCGAUUAGCUAGUUGGUGGGGUAAAGGCCUACCAAGGCUACGAUCGGUAGCCGGUCUGAGAGGACGAUCGGCCACACUGGGACUGAGACACGGCCCAGACUCCUACGGGAGGCAGCAGUGGGGAAUAUUGGACAAUGGGCGCAAGCCUGAUCCAGCCAUGCCGCGUGAGUGAAGAAGGCCUCGGUUGUAAGUAC
This 378-nucleotide ribosomal RNA is filed under the name uncultured bacterium. Its description in RNAcentral is "bacterial SSU rRNA". It matches the Rfam family "Bacterial small subunit ribosomal RNA", at positions 28 to 431 of the family's 1533-position model. The record is from RNAcentral.